Molecule: long non-coding RNA, 2643 nt
Filed under: Xyrichtys novacula (pearly razorfish)
Lineage: Eukaryota; Metazoa; Chordata; Actinopteri; Labriformes; Labridae
Source: RNAcentral
UGAGCAACUGCCACUCCCCAAAUUUGAAACAGGAUCUCAACUAGCUGCAGUCUGCACAUUCACCACUAGAUGGUGCACAAUACAACACAGCAGACCUGAGGGUUAGGCUUAUCUGACACUCAGGCUGUGUCUCAUUUCAGAGACCGCAAACAAUCAAACUGAUGAUGAUCAACAUUUGUGAUCCAGAGGGAGUCAAGCUCCGACGAGCACCACGUCUCUGACACCGGCGGUAACCUACACCUGCAGAGACACCAACACCUUAUUAUGGCAUAUGGAUUCAUAUCAUAAACUAAAGCUCAAUGUCAUUCACGGAUAUUUACGGCUGCAUUGACAGAUAUAUCCGCAGCAUAUUCAUUUCUGCCUCCACAAAAGCAGCGAUUUCCAUCACGUACACCAGUUUUUUUUCCUGUGGAAAAGACGUAUUUCUCAUAUAUUCUUUUUUUAAGUCUUUAUACUUAUGACAAUGUGAUGCUGAUGUGCUGAUGUUAAAUCUCGAAGUCUUUAAAAAAAAUUCUCAAUACGGCCCUCAUACUCCUCCAUACAAAACAAUCAUUGGAUGAAUUUUGUGGGAAUGAUCUGUGCUUGUACGUAUCUACUAUUUUGUGUCUGUGCUUAGUGGUGUCGGUCUUGAACGAACGGAUCAAAAGAACUAGUUCUUUUUGGUGAACGAAAUGAACUAGGUCACCCUCCCUAAAUGACCAGGGGCCUCAUUUAUAAAGCUUGCUUACGCAAAAAAACUGGCUAGAAAUUGCGUACGCCACUUCUUACGCAAGAGUUGGGAUUUAUAAAAGAAAAACUAGUGUAGGAAUGUGCGCAACUUUAAGCAAACUCCACACCUUGCUUACGCACUUAUUGGAGACAAUCGGAGCAAGGUGAGAAUAGUCCGGGUGAUGCGUUCAGCACAACGGAUGACUCGAUGCAGCCUUUCUGUCCUGAGAGCUGCAGCUGCCGUACCAGGCAGUGAUGCUCGCAGAAAGCACAGACCCCACUGUGGCGGUGUAGAUAGUUUGCCAAUUUGAAUUUACAAAUGUGCAAAAAAACAAAUUCCAUUUACAUGCAUUUGUUUUAAGAUUAAUAUGACUAAAUCUUUUUGGUUUACGAACUUUCACCACAUAAGCAGCGGUGGAUAACGGAGCGUUUUUUUUUUUUUUUUGAACACAUGCACGAGUGUCAAACUGCUUGUUUUUUCUGAUCCUCACCUGUCGCCGCCACGCUCUGAUGGUGCAAAGCCACUUUUUUCUUUGCCUCCACCUUUAGAUCAGACCACUUCUUCUUGAUUUCGGCACAGUUUUGUUUUCGUCAUCGUCGACGAAAACAAAACUCCACGUGUUUGCGCGCGCGUGCGUGUGUGUCUGUGUGUUGGAGGAGCACAGCAGGCUGAUGAGAGCUGUCAGAGCGGACAGAAGCUGCUCCUAUAUGUUUAGCGUUUAACUGACUGAGUUUUGCAACUCUGGUCGUCAUUUUCGUCUCGUCCCAUCAACGUAAACGCACUUUCGUCUCGUCACAUUUUAGUCAUCUCCGACUUAUGUUUAGCUCGUCAACGUUACGUCUUCGUCGUGGAAGAAAAGGGAAAUAUUUCCGUCAACAAAAACAACCAGUGUUGUUCUCGUUGAUGAAAAUAUUUCCUUUUGACGCUGGUGUUGACGAAAAUAUUUGACGAAAUAUGACGAAAACAACACUGUUUCGGCAACGCUGCGCUCAGUGCCAGCCGCAAUUACCGCCACGGCUACGGCGUUUUUAUUGGUGAUGCCACUCGAAUGGCCGCCGAAUAAGGUCUCCCGUCUCGCCGCCACCUCAUUUACAAGAACCUCCACCUCAAUCUCUGAAAAGAUUCUUUUUCUACGACUUGCUGAUGCCAUGGUUAAGCGUGAAAUGCCGUGGGUCCACCAGGCUUAUUUACAUGCAAAUCACAUUCAUAGGGUAAUUUGCAUGACCAUACAUGGUGAAUUUUGGGUGUGGAGAGGGCGGGGAAGAAUCAAAUCCCUGCUGAGCAACUUUCUGGCUGGUCUGUGAUUUAUAAAGGGAAAGUGCGUGCAGGUGUGCGUAGGCAGGGUUUUAUAAAUCAGAUUUUUUUUUUGCCUACGCACUUUUCAGCUUUUCAACUUACGUACACUUUUAGUAUGGAUCCUACGCCAGGUUUUAUAAAUGAGGCCCCAGUUCAGUCCGUUCAGUUCUUUUGAUUGGCUGAAGAGUCAGUUCACCGUUCCUUAGGGCAGGACUAUCUCCGUGCUUGCCUGUCUUAUCCUAUGGUCGAGCCUCGCUCCGUGUGUGGGUGGGGCUUAGAGAAGCAGCAGCAGCAGUACUACUGAGUGAGCUGACUGAAAGACCGGGAUGACCGAAAAGAACGAAUUGAACGAAAGACCGAGUUGAACGAAAGACCCGGACCGAUGAACGAGUUGACUGAAAGACCGAGUUGAACGAAAGACCCGGACAGAUGAACGAGUUGACUGAAAGACCGAGUUGAACGAAAGACCCGGACAGAUGAACGAGUUGACUGAAAGACCCGGAACGAUGACCGACUCGGUCUCUGUCUUUUCAGUCAGCUUGGUCUGACCGAGAGAUUGACCGACUCUCAGACUGACUGAGUACCCCCCCCCCCCCCGGCUGAUGCUGCAGCAGCCUGUGAACUCCUCAAUGGUGAAG